Molecule: ribosomal RNA, 465 nt
Filed under: uncultured bacterium
Lineage: Bacteria
Description: partial 16S ribosomal RNA
Rfam family: Bacterial small subunit ribosomal RNA
Source: RNAcentral
GACGAACGCUGGCGGCGUGCUUAACACAUGCAAGUCGAACGGAAAGGCCCCUUUGGGGGUCCUCGAGUGGCGAACGGGUGAGUAACACGUGAGUAACCUGCCCUUGACUUCGGGAUAACUUCAGGAAACUGGGGCUAAUACCGGAUAGGAAUCCUUGCUGCAUGGUGGGGGUUGGAAAGCUUCGGCGGUUUUGGAUGGACUCGCGGCUUAUCAGCUUGUUGGUGGGGUAGUGGCUUACCAAGGCUUUGACGGGUAGCCGGCCUGAGAGGGCGACCGGCCACAGUGGGACUGAGAUACGGCCCAGACUCCUACGGGAGGCAGCAGUGGGGAAUAUUGCACAAUGGGCGGAAGCCUGAUGCAGCAACGCCGCGGGCGGGAGGACGGCCUUCGGGUUGUAAACCGCUUUCAGCAGGGGCGAAGCUUGUGGUGACGGUACCUGCAGAAGAAGCACCGGCUAACUACGUG